This 448-nucleotide ribosomal RNA is filed under the name uncultured bacterium. RNAcentral describes it as "partial 16S ribosomal RNA". It matches the Rfam family "Bacterial small subunit ribosomal RNA", at positions 29 to 523 of the family's 1533-position model. The record is from RNAcentral.
AACGAACGCUGGCGGCAUGCCUAACACAUGCAAGUCGAACGAUCCCUUCGGGGAUCGUGGCGCACGGGUGCGUAACGCGUGGGAAUCUGCCCUUGGCUUCGGAAUAACAGUUAGAAAUGACUGCUAAUACCGGAUGAUGUCUUCGGACCAAAGAUUAUCGGCCAGGGAUGAGCCCGCGUAGGAUUAGGUAGUUGGUGAGGUAAAGGCUCACCAAGCCGACGAUCCUUAGCUGGUCUGAGAGGAUGCUCAGCCACACUGGGACUGAGACACGGCCCAGACUCGUACGGUAGUCAGCAGUGGGAAAUAUUGGAAGAUGGGCGCAAGCAUGAUCCAGCAAUGCGGCGGGAGUGAUUAAGGCCUUCGGGUCGUAGAGCUCUUUUACCCGGGAUGAUAAUGACGGUACCGGGAGAAUAAGCUCCGGCUAAGUCCGUGCCACCCGCCGCGGUAA